This 253-nucleotide ribosomal RNA is filed under the name uncultured bacterium. RNAcentral's name for it is "partial 16S ribosomal RNA". It matches the Rfam family "Bacterial small subunit ribosomal RNA", at positions 524 to 776 of the family's 1533-position model. The record is from RNAcentral.
UACGGAGGGUGCAAGCGUUAAUCGGAAUUACUGGGCGUAAAGCGCACGCAGGCGGUUUGUUAAGUCUGAUGUGAAAUCCCCGGGCUCAACCUGGGAACUGCAUCGGAGACUGGCAAUCUUGAGUCUGGUAGAGGGGGGUAGAAUUCCAGGUGUAGCGGUGAAAUGCGUAGAGAUCUGGAGGAACACCGAUGGCGAAGGCAGCCCCCUGGACGAAGACUGACGCUCAGGUGCGAAAGCGUGGGGAGCAAACAGG